AGUGAACGCUGGCGGUAGGCCUAACACAUGCAAGUCGAACGGCAGCACAGUAAGAGCUUGCUCUUACGGGUGGCGAGUGGCGGACGGGUGAGGAAUACAUCGGAAUCUACUUUUUCGUGGGGGAUAACGUAGGGAAACUUACGCUAAUACCGCAUACGACCUACGGGUGAAAGCAGGGGAUCUUCGGACCUUGCGCGAUUAAUGAGCCGAUGUCGGAUUAGCUAGUUGGCGGGGUAAAGGCCCACCAAGGCGACGAUCCGUAGCUGGUCUGAGAGGAUGAUCAGCCACACUGGAACUGAGACACGGUCCAGACUCCUACGGGAGGCAGCAGUGGGGAAUAUUGGACAAUGGGCGCAAGCCUGAUCCAGCCAUACCGCGUGGGUGAAGAAGGCCUUCGGGUUGUAAAGCCCUUUUGUUGGGAAAGAAAAGUAGCAGGUUAAUACCCCGCUGUUCUGACGGUACCCAAAGAAUAAGCACCGGCUAACUUCGUG
RNAcentral lists this ribosomal RNA (491 nucleotides) under uncultured bacterium. RNAcentral describes it as "partial 16S ribosomal RNA". It matches the Rfam family "Bacterial small subunit ribosomal RNA", at positions 29 to 507 of the family's 1533-position model. The record is from RNAcentral.